RNAcentral lists this small RNA (397 nucleotides) under Drosophila pseudoobscura pseudoobscura. Its description in RNAcentral is "GA32279". Lineage: Eukaryota; Metazoa; Arthropoda; Insecta; Diptera; Drosophilidae. The record is from RNAcentral.
UGCUGCAAUUGGAAGACAGACACAGAGAGAGUGGUUAGGAUGAAUGCUUUGGAUUGAACACCAUUUCCGGCAGCGUCCUCUCGCACAGUUCCAUCUGAAUGCUCUUCAGGAUAUGAAGGAGUGUUAUUUUAAUCUCCAAUGCUCCAGGGCCAAUGCAGCCACUAGGAUCAGCAUCAAAGGAAAAAUACGUUAUUGGAUGGUGCUGCUGACGUUACUUCGGCGAGAAGCGUUCCGGAUCGAACUGGUUCGGACUUGGCCUUUUGCAGGAAAUGUGUCUUUUAAAGAUACAUAUAUACUCUAUAUGAUCGUACCACGGGAUCCCGAUGACGUCCUAGCACUGAGAUAUACAUGGGACAACCUGCAACAAUCCAGGAAUGCAGUGGGAUGAUACAGCCCC